Molecule: ribosomal RNA, 460 nt
Filed under: uncultured bacterium
Lineage: Bacteria
Description: partial 16S ribosomal RNA
Rfam family: Bacterial small subunit ribosomal RNA
Source: RNAcentral
CCUACGGGGGGCUGCAGUGAGGAAUAUUGGUCAAUGGGCGGAAGCCUGAACCAGCCAAGUCGCGUGAGGGAAUACGGCCCUACGGGUCGUAAACCUCUUUUGCCGGGGAGCAAGGGCGGGGACGUGUCCCGGCCCGGAGAGUACCCGGAGAAAAAGCAUCGGCUAACUCCGUGCAAGCGGCGGCGGUAAUACGGAGGAUGCGAGCGUUAUCCGGUUUUAUGGGGUUUAAAGGGUGCGUAGGCGGUCUUUUAAGUCAGUGGGAAAAAUUCGGGGCUCAACCCCGUCCGGCCGUUGAAACUGGGGGCCUUGAGUGGGCGAGAAGAAGGCGGAAUGCGUGGUGUAGCGGUGAAAUGCAUAGAUAUCACGCAGAACCCCGAUUGCGAAGGCAGCCUUCCGGCGCCCUACUGACGCUGAGGCACGAAAGUGCGGGGAUCGAACAGGAUUAGAUACCCCUGUAGUC